GGUCAUCAGGUCUGGUUGCCAGGUAAUCAUACACCAAGCCAGGUGCAUGACGGGAGUAAAAAAUCAAAAUGGCGGACAUUCACUCGAAAAAUCGGCCGAGCAAGAAGAAAGUUUAGUCUUUUUACCCAGAAGCAGCCUGUGUUUGGCCUAGCAGAGCCUGUUGAGUGAUUAGGAUGAGCAUGCGUGAGCUGGCGGACCCAGGAGAUGGGGCGUGGCUGGAGGCGGAGAUCGAGCGGGAGUUGGCUCAGCUCUCACCUGUGGAUAACGACCUGGGGCUGGAGGAUGGGGAGGAUGGGGAUGACUUGGACCAAGAGGAGGAUUUUCAGG
Molecule: long non-coding RNA, 327 nt
Organism: Branchiostoma floridae (Florida lancelet)
Lineage: Eukaryota; Metazoa; Chordata; Leptocardii; Amphioxiformes; Branchiostomatidae
Exons: 2
Source: RefSeq, a predicted model, not a curated record